Molecule: ribosomal RNA, 2079 nt
Filed under: Enterococcus faecalis
Lineage: Bacteria; Bacillati; Bacillota; Bacilli; Lactobacillales; Enterococcaceae
Description: partial 23S ribosomal RNA
Rfam family: Bacterial large subunit ribosomal RNA
Source: RNAcentral
GGUUAAGUUAAUAAGGGCGCACGGUGGAUGCCUUGGCACUAGGAGCCGAAGAAGGACGUGACAAACGACGAUAUGCCUUGGGUAGCUGUAAGUAAGCGAUGAUCCAGGGAUUUCCGAAUGGGGGAACCCAACAGGUACUACCUGUUACCCAUAUCUGUUAAGGAUAUGAGGAGGAAGACGCAGUGAACUGAAACAUCUAAGUAGCUGCAGGAAGAGAAAGCAAAAGCGAUUGCCUGAGUAGCGGCGAGCGAAACGGCAGGAGGGCAAACCGAAGAGUUUACUCUUCGGGGUUGUAGGACUGCAAUGUGGAUUCAAAGAUUAUAGAAGAAUGAUAUGGGAAGAUCAGCCAAAGAGAGUGAGAGCCUCGUAUUUAAAAUAGUCUUUGUACCUAGCAGUAUCCUGAGUACGGCGAGACACGUGAAAUCUCGUCGGAAUCUGGGAGGACCAUCUCCCAACCCUAAAUACUCCCUAGUGACCGAUAGUGAACCAGUACCGUGAGGGAAAGGUGAAAAGCACCCCGGGAGGGGAGUGAAAUAGAACCUGAAACCGUGUGCCUACAACAAGUUCGAGCCCGUUCAUGGGUGAGAGCGUGCCUUUUGUAGAAUGAACCGGCGAGUUACGAUAUGAUGCGAGGUUAAGUUGAAGAGACGGAGCCGUAGGGAAACCGAGUCUGAAUAGGGCGGAUUAGUAUUAUGUCGUAGACCCGAAACCAUGUGACCUACCCAUGAGCAGGUUGAAGGUGAGGUAAAACUCACUGGAGGACCGAACCAGGGCACGUUGAAAAGUGCUUGGAUGACUUGUGGGUAGCGGAGAAAUUCCAAACGAACUUGGAGAUAGCUGGUUCUCUCCGAAAUAGCUUUAGGGCUAGCGUCGACAUCAAGAUUCUUGGAGGUAGAGCACUGUUUGGGUGAGGGGUCCAUCCCGGAUUACCAAUCUCAGAUAAACUCCGAAUGCCAAAGAAUUAUGGUCGGCAGUCAGACUGCGAGUGCUAAGAUCCGUAGUCGAAAGGGAAACAGCCCAGACCACCAGCUAAGGUCCCAAAAUAAUUGUUAAGUGGAAAAGGAUGUGGGGUUGCACAGACAACUAGGAUGUUAGCUUAGAAGCAGCUAUUCAUUCAAAGAGUGCGUAAUAGCUCACUAGUCGAGUGACCCUGCGCCGAAAAUGUACCGGGGCUAAAACAAUUUACCGAAGCUGUGGAUACCUUUAUGGUAUGGUAGGAGAGCGUUCUAUGUGUGGAGAAGGUGUACCGUGAGGAGCGCUGGAACGCAUAGAAGUGAGAAUGCCGGUAUGAGUAGCGAAAGACAGGUGAGAAUCCUGUCCACCGUAAGACUAAGGUUUCCAGGGGAAGGCUCGUCCGCCCUGGGUUAGUCGGGACCUAAGGAGAGACCGAAAGGUGUAUCCGAUGGACAACAGGUUGAUAUUCCUGUACUAGAGUAUGUAGUGAUGGAGGGACGCAGUAGGCUAACUAAAGCAGACGAUUGGAAGUGUCUGUCUAAGCAGUGAGGUGUGAAUUGAGUCAAAUGCUUAAUUCUAUAACAUUGAGCUGUGAUGGGGAGCGAAGUUUAGUAGCGAAGUUAGUGAUGUCACACUGCCAAGAAAAGCUUCUAGCGUUAAACAUACUCUACCCGUACCGCAAACCGACACAGGUAGUCGAGGCGAGUAGCCUCAGGUGAGCGAGAGAACUCUCGUUAAGGAACUCGGCAAAAUGACCCCGUAACUUCGGGAGAAGGGGUGCUGACUUUCAGUCAGCCGCAGUGAAUAGGCCCAAGCAACUGUUUAUCAAAAACACAGCUCUCUGCUAAAUCGUAAGAUGAUGUAUAGGGGGUGACGCCUGCCCGGUGCUGGAAGGUUAAGAGGAGUGCUUAGAGGUAACUCGAAGGUAUGAAUUGAAGCCCCAGUAAACGGCGGCCGUAACUAUAACGGUCCUAAGGUAGCGAAAUUCCUUGUCGGGUAAGUUCCGACCCGCACGAAAGGCGUAAUGAUUUGGGCACUGUCUCAACGAGAGACUCGGUGAAAUUUUAGUACCUGUGAAGAUGCAGGUUACCCGCGACAGGACGGAAAGACCCCAUGGAGCUUUAC